UACGUAGGGGGCAAGCGUUGUCCGGAUUUAUUGGGCGUAAAGCGCGUGUAGGCGGCCACACAGGUCCGCUGUGAAAACUCGAGGCUCAACCUCGAGCUGUCGGUGGAAACCGUGUGGCUAGAGUCCGGAAGAGGAGACUGGAAUUCCCGGUGUAGCGGUGGAAUGCGCAGAUAUCGGGAGGAACACCCGUGGCGAAGGCGGGUCUCUGGAACGGUACUGACGCUGAGACGCGAAAGCGUGGGGAGCGAACAGG
This 253-nucleotide ribosomal RNA is filed under the name uncultured bacterium. Its description in RNAcentral is "partial 16S ribosomal RNA". It matches the Rfam family "Bacterial small subunit ribosomal RNA", at positions 524 to 776 of the family's 1533-position model. The record is from RNAcentral.